This 440-nucleotide ribosomal RNA is filed under the name uncultured bacterium. RNAcentral describes it as "partial 16S ribosomal RNA". It matches the Rfam family "Bacterial small subunit ribosomal RNA", at positions 338 to 795 of the family's 1533-position model. The record is from RNAcentral.
CCUACGGGUGACAGCAGUGGGGAAUAUUGCACAAUGGGGGAAACCCUGAUGCAGCGACGCCGCGUGAGUGAAGAAGUAUUUCGGUAUGUAAAGCUCUAUCAGCAGGGAAGAAAAUGACGGUACCUGACUAAGAAGCCCCGGCUAACUACGUGCCAGCAGCCGCGGUAAUACGUAGGGGGCAAGCGUUAUCCGGAUUUACUGGGUGUAAAGGGAGCGUAGACGGCAGCACAAGUCUGGAGUGAAAAGCCGGGGCCUAACCCCGGAACUGCUUUGGAAACUGUGCAGCUAGAGUGCAGGAGAGGUAAGUGGAAUUCCUAGUGUAGCGGUGAAAUGCGUAGAUAUUAGGAGGAACACCAGUGGCGAAGGCGGCUUACUGGACUGUAACUGACGUUGAGGCUCGAAAGCGUGGGGAGCAAACAGGAUUAGAUACCCGAGUAGUC